CAGAAAAUAGUUUAAUAUAAAAUAUAAGCUUUGGAAGUUUAAGUUGAUUAUAUAUCUUUUCUGA
Molecule: transfer RNA, 64 nt
Filed under: Auritibicen bihamatus
Lineage: Eukaryota; Metazoa; Arthropoda; Insecta; Hemiptera; Cicadidae
Description: tRNA-Pro
Source: RNAcentral